This 440-nucleotide ribosomal RNA is filed under the name uncultured bacterium. Its description in RNAcentral is "bacterial SSU rRNA". It matches the Rfam family "Bacterial small subunit ribosomal RNA", at positions 338 to 795 of the family's 1533-position model. The record is from RNAcentral.
CCUACGGGGGGCUGCAGUGGGGAAUCUUGGACAAUGGGCGCAAGCCUGAUCCAGCCAUGCCGCGUGAGUGAUGAAGGCCUUAGGGUCGUAAAGCUCUUUCGCCAGAGAUGAUAAUGACAGUAUCUGGUAAAGAAACCCCGGCUAACUCCGUGCCAGCAGCCGCGGUAAUACGGAGGGGGUUAGCGUUGUUCGGAAUUACUGGGCGUAAAGCGCGCGUAGGCGGAUCAGUCAGUUAGAGGUGAAAUCCCGGGGCUCAACCCCGGAACUGCCUUUAAUACUGCUAGUCUUGAGUUCGAGAGAGGUGAGUGGAAUUCCGAGUGUAGAGGUGAAAUUCGUAGAUAUUCGGAGGAACACCAGUGGCGAAGGCGGCUCACUGGCUCGAUACUGACGCUGAGGUGCGAAAGUGUGGGGAGCAAACAGGAUUAGAUACCCCAGUAGUC